GACGAACGCUGGCGGCGUGCUUAACACAUGCAAGUCGAACGGUGAAGCUCCAGCUUGCUGGAGUGGAUCAGUGGCGAACGGGUGAGUAACACGUGAGCAACCUGCCCCUGACUCUGGAAUAAGCGCUGGAAACGGCGUCUAAUACUGGAUACGAGAAGGGUCCGCAUGGGCACUUUCUGGAAAGUUUUUCGGUUGGGGAUGGGCUCGCGGCCUAUCAGCUUGUUGGUGAGGUAAUGGCUCACCAAGGCGACGACGGGUAGCCGGCCUGAGAGGGCGACCGGCCACACUGGGACUGAGACACGGCCCAGGCUCCUACGGGAGGCAGCAGUGGGGAAUAUUGCACAAUGGGCGAAGGCCUGAUGCAGCGACGCCGCGUGAGGGAUGACGGCCUUCGGGUUGUAAACCUCUUUCAGCAGGGAAGAAGCGAAAGUGACGGUACCUGCAGAAGAAGCACCGGCUAACUACGUG
This 468-nucleotide ribosomal RNA is filed under the name uncultured bacterium. RNAcentral describes it as "partial 16S ribosomal RNA". It matches the Rfam family "Bacterial small subunit ribosomal RNA", at positions 28 to 507 of the family's 1533-position model. The record is from RNAcentral.